UUGUUUUACAAGGCAAACACGAUAAACCGGUUAAUAUUUAUUAUUAUCUUGAGGCCAUAAUAAUUUCUUCACUUGCAUAUUGAUGCAAUGUAAGACAAUACAGUGAUACAGGAAGAUUGAAGAUAAUGUAACAUCUGCAAAUAUAAUUCGCGGGAAUUACAUAUAACGCUGGCGCGGCGGUAGAACAGGCGAAAUUAUAAAAGUCUCUCCUCCAAGUUUGAUUUCGUUCUCUUUGGAAUAGAGACUUGGGCCGUGGAGUUCGCAGGCACCUGGUAGUCAGUAUCGGGGACUGGGGCAACGAAUAAUUAUCGCAAUACAGCAACAAAGUUACACUGCAGCGUGAACCAAUUUUUUACAAUUAAUUUAGUUUUAUAUUUAUUAUUACUUUGUAGGUUAAGAAGAUGUAUAACACCUUGCGUCUUACGUUAGUUACUGUUCGAAUCUAUGAAUUUUUUUGACUUCCUAUUUGAUGAUUGUCAAAAACACCAAUGUAUACCAGUCAGUAGAUAUGUUGAUAUUUAAAUACAUAUAAUAAUAUUACAUUAUUCAUGAUUGUUGUGACGAAAUUGAUCUAACGCUUAAAAUUAUUCCGUGGUUUAUCAUGCAUUGUGCAAAAAAAAAUUUGAAAGAAAAAGUAGACUUAGUCGUUUAAGACUUUAAUAAUGUACGAGUAUGUGAAUCACUCUGUAUUUGAGUUGUUGGUAUAAGCGUGCGCUGUGUCUUUGUUAGUUUUUGGAACAUCCGUUAUGCCAAAACAUGUAAAGCUCUAGCUAGCACAAUAUAGUAAUAUUCAAAAACACUUAAAAGUAUAUGUUUUUUACCUGGUCUGUCAUUAUUAAUUUACAUUUGAAUGUUGCAAUUUUUAUGAGUGUAUACGUCCUGUAUUUAACUUAACAUUCCUUAUCAACGCUAUUAGAGUAACUUGUAGACGAUAUUAGAAUCUAAUAACAUAAAGUGAACGAUUAGAUACGGUGUGGCCACACAUGUAUCUGUUAGUUAAGUGUUUCUUGAUGCAUACUUUGCUAAACAACUUUUUUCAUAUUAGAAAUAUAAGUUUAUGAAGUAUUUACA
Molecule: long non-coding RNA, 1071 nt
Organism: Pieris rapae (cabbage white)
Lineage: Eukaryota; Metazoa; Arthropoda; Insecta; Lepidoptera; Pieridae
Exons: 2
Source: RefSeq, a predicted model, not a curated record